GACGAACGCUGGCGGCGUGCUUAACACAUGCAAGUCGAACGGAAAGGCCUCUUUCGGGGGUACUCGAGUGGCGAACGGGUGAGUAACACGUGAGUAACCUGCCCUUGACUUUGGGAUAACUUCAGGAAACUGGGGCUAAUACCGGAUAGGAGCUCCUGCUGCAUGGUGGGGGUUGGAAAGUUUCGGCGGUUGGGGAUGGACUCGCGGCUUAUCAGCUUGUUGGUGGGGUAGUGGCUUACCAAGGCUUUGACGGGUAGCCGGCCUGAGAGGGUGACCGGCCACAUUGGGACUGAGAUACGGCCCAGACUCCUACGGGAGGCAGCAGUGGGGAAGAUUGCACAAGGGGUGGAAGCCUGAUGCAGCAACGCCGUGUGCGGGAUGACGGCCUUCGGGUUGUAAACCGCUUUCGCUCAUGACGAAGCUUUGUGUGACGGUAGUGGGUAAAGAAGCACCGGCUAACUACGUG
This 466-nucleotide ribosomal RNA is filed under the name uncultured bacterium. RNAcentral describes it as "partial 16S ribosomal RNA". It matches the Rfam family "Bacterial small subunit ribosomal RNA", at positions 28 to 507 of the family's 1533-position model. The record is from RNAcentral.